Long non-coding RNA from Myzus persicae (green peach aphid), 658 nucleotides. RefSeq lists it as uncharacterized. The transcript has 4 exons. The record is from RefSeq and is a predicted model, not a curated record. NCBI's taxonomy places the organism in Eukaryota, Metazoa, Arthropoda, Insecta, Hemiptera, Aphididae.
UGCUUCUAGUUCUACUAAAGACAUAGUAGCCAACAACAGAAACAUAAUCUUUUCAAGAUAGAAUAUUGAUUUUCAACGUCGACCUGAUGGUUGGUCGCCAUUCAAGUCUCUAAAAGAGAAAAUAAGUUACCAGACAAAAUGAGACUGCAGCUAAAUUUAAUGAUGAUAUUGCUACAUCGUCUAAAGCAGUAACUCAUACUUAUAAUGUCACACCUUUAAAAACUAUGAACAAGUCGACUGCAAAAAUGCUGAUUAGUGGAAACAAAUCUGAUAACGGCAGUGUUAUUACGUCACCAUUAAAAACAUCAAAAUAUACAUCUUCAUCUCAGUCGAAAGGCAGUGCAAAAAUAAAAGUUUAAUUUCUUUUUCUUUAAAUUUGUAUUGGACUAUAUUUCAUGUUUAAUAAUCAAAUAUCUACAUUUUAACAUGUAAAAAGGAGCCUAUUUAAUAAUGUUCAUAAUUGUCCAAAGGGCAAAGGUACAUAAGAGUGAUUCAAGUUUAACCGGCUGUACACCAAACAAUUCUAUUAUAAAUGGGGUCACGGUUGUGUUUGAGUACACGUGUAUAUGUGGAGCUUGGAUUCGUCACUAAACAUCCAUGUGGUCACCCAUCCGGAUGCUAGCUACGCCGGCCGAUGAUUGACACCCAUUAGGGACUU